ACUCUUCUCUCGUUCCCAGUAUCGAAGUUUUUGUCAGUAUGCGCUCGACAGCAUUACCUUAGACUAAGUACAGUAUACUGAGUACUCCAGUCCAUCAUAUGAGCAUAGUGCGUAACUGUAAUGGGUCCAAAAGAAAUAACUGGCAGAGUUAAAGUGAGAAAGCCUCCUGCUCCCACACUGUCCCACUCCUGUGUCCGGUGACCUGAGGAUCUCAAAUGCACUGCAUCUUCAUCGUGGGUCGAGGUGAGCCAGAACCAAACCCGGCAACUCAGGACGUAAGGCUGGAGGGAGAGGGGACAGUUGCAGGAUGGGACGCCAGGCCAUCACAAGGCACCCCGAGCAGGACUCGAACCCCAGACCCACCAGAGAGCAGGACCCAGCCAAGCCCACUGUGCCACCGUACCCUCUCUCUACAGUACAUAUAUAUACUGUAUAUAUAGAUAUAUAUAUGUCAC
This 455-nucleotide long non-coding RNA is filed under the name Scleropages formosus (Asian bonytongue). Its description in RNAcentral is "lncRNA (ENSSFOG00015026496.1)". Lineage: Eukaryota; Metazoa; Chordata; Actinopteri; Osteoglossiformes; Osteoglossidae. The record is from RNAcentral.